GAUCAUGGCUCAGAUUGAACGCUGGCGGCAGGCCUAACACAUGCAAGUCGAGCGGCAGCACGGGAAGCUUGCUUCCUGGUGGCGAGCGGCGGACGGGUGAGUAAUGCAUAGAAAUCUGCCCGGUAGUGGGGGAUAACCUGGGGAAACCCAGGCUAAUACCGCAUACGUCCUACGGGAGAAAGCAGGGGAUCUUCGGACCUUGCGCUAUCGGAUGAGUCUAUGUCGGAUUAG
This 231-nucleotide ribosomal RNA is filed under the name uncultured bacterium. RNAcentral's name for it is "partial 16S ribosomal RNA". It matches the Rfam family "Bacterial small subunit ribosomal RNA", at positions 15 to 244 of the family's 1533-position model. The record is from RNAcentral.